Non-coding RNA from Pelobates cultripes (western spadefoot toad), 921 nucleotides. NCBI's taxonomy places the organism in Eukaryota, Metazoa, Chordata, Amphibia, Anura, Pelobatidae. The record is from the annotation of a GenBank genome assembly.
GAAAAUGUUUAAUAAAGAAGCAAAACGAUAUUCCAAUCAAGUGAGUUUUUAAACACACUGCUCUUGACACUUUCAAAACCAGCACUCCGGUUUGAAAGCUGUCAUCUCUUAUUGAUUUACCCUGUUAAUUCUAUUAAUUCCAUAUCAGACAGUUUAUAUGAAUGGGAAGAGGCACGUCAAGGUAAAAUGACUGGAUUGCAGUCUGUGCCAUUCACAAGGCACAUACACAAGGCAAGAAAGAAUGUGCAUUUUUAAAUAAGAUAUGAUGGUAGGUUAAAGUGUGUAACAUUGGUUGGUUGUACAUGCUCAACAGUUUGCAAGGUGCAGGAAGGAUGGCCCACUACACAAGGAUAGUCGCAAAAAGAUGAUGAAAUGAGUUUGGGACCGCAACAGAAGGAUUAUAAUAAGCACAUCACUGGCACCGAAAGACCCAUGAAAGAAUCUUCAAAUGCGGUAUAUCAGCCAUUAUCAACAAAUAGUUUUCCCAUUUUACAAGCAUCUAUUAAAUUCAAUAGCACAUCUCUAAUCUCCACAUGCUGUUAGAUUGAUAAUUCACUCCUUAUGUGAAAUAUACUUUUUUUCCCCCAAGUCUUAGUGAAUUACUUUGUGUCCCCUGCAUGGACUUGUUAAUGGACAGUGAGGCAUAAAGGCAGAAAGAUAUAACAGCAUUCAUUCAUUAAAAUAGGAGCAGACCUCUAGUGAGUAUCUGCAAUCAAGAGGUGGUGGAACACAAAGGAUCCGAUAAAGAGUUUCACUGACACUUGAAUGCUGUUGUGGAAAAUGGAAGAUACUUAAAUCAUUCCGGUUUUCAUUGGGUGAAUCAGGCAGGAAGAAUACAGUGCAGGGGGCACAGAUCUUUUCCCCACAGAGUGUCAGCCAAGCCAGCGGCAUUACUGUAGCGUAGAGGCAUAACCUCCAUUU